ACAAUAGAUCAUCAGAAGAGAAGUGAUUUGAGAAGUGGGGUGCUGCCAAAGCAAAACCCUCAAACAUACGGCACUGGUCUUGCUUGGAACCAGGCAAGAAGCAGAGAUGGAAGGGCCUCCAGAAAUGUUUCUAAAAAUAAGAAAUAGGCUCAUGGUUUAGAUCAAACUCAGGACCCUUUGUAUAAAAUGUGGCCUUAAGAUUACAUUUAGAACAAAAGUACAACCUAAGACAUUUUGUUUACACUUAUGAGUAAAGUGAUGCCUUACAGAAUCUCUCGACUAGAGAAAUGACUUCUUAGAAACAUAAGGUUAUAUCUUCUAACACUCUUCAGACAAAAUAACUUGUAAGAAUCUUAGUUUGCCUCUGCACAAAAUGUAAUGGCUUAAAACAAGGUAUCAUUUCUCAUGGUUCUUGAGUUGGUGCAAAUCAGCUGCAUGAGUUAAUCUUGGGGUCUCCCACGCAGCUACAGUGAGCUGCAGCUGGAGCUGGAGUUAAAUGAAGCCUCAACUGAGUAGGGGAUCUGAGCUGGCUUCUUCACUCACAUACCUGGUAUCCACCUGGCCUCUUUCUCCAAGUUGCAUCUCAUUCUUCAAGGCUACUCCACCAAACUUGGGCUUCUCUUGAUAGUCAUACUUUCUAACUGGCUUCCAAGUUGGAAAGUAGGAGCCACCAGGUUAGGGAAUGGCUGCUCCCAGAACUGCUUCAGCAUUAAACCACAUAUGCUAUGGGUCCAAGCCAUUAUGGGGUCUGUCCAGGUAUAAGAGGGUGGGAAGAGAGAUUCUACCUCGUGAUGUUGAUGAGAGAGUAUCAAGGACCCAUCACAGAAGAUUGGAUGAGACAGGAAAUAUUACUGUAGACGUCUCCGAAAAAUACAGUCUACCACAACCUACCACUUCUUUUUUUAAACUUACAUCUCUCCUUAGGUUAGAAAAACCUAUAUAAGGCUUAUAAUCACCCACAGGUAUAAUAUGAUUGCAGGAAGACCAGUGAAAUGUGAACUGCCAAAAUAAGAAUCCAAAGCAAGGAAAACCAACAGGUCUUCUUGGUUUCUACACUGAUGAAACCACAUAUAGAAAAGAGAGUUGUCCACAGCUCAGAGCUGAAUUUAUAAAGGGCCGAUGAAAAACUGGGGCAUGUUAUGGGGAGAGUGAGCAGGGUGGUUAAGCCCUGGAAAUCGUAUCACUUUAGGAGCAUAUGCUAUAAAAGCAACACUGCUCGACCUGAAGAUGUGUGGACAAGAUCUUACCUGAGCUUCUCACUUCACUCCCUCUGUGUCCCCUAUGACAUGAACCUCUAGACCUCCACAUACAUGGUUUGAACCACUGGCCUACAUCCCUUUAAAAUACUUACUUCUACGGGGUUCCCGCUAUGGCUCAGCGGGUUAAGAACCCGACUAGUAUCCAUGAGGAUGCGAGUUCGAUCCCUAGCCUCAUUCAGUGGGCUAAGGAUCCGGUGCUGCUGUGAGCUACAAUGUAGGCCACAGAUGGGACCUGGAUCUGGUGUUGCUGUGGCUGUGGUGUAGGCCAGCAGCUGUGGCUCAGAUUGAACCCCUUUGUUCCCAAGCAUAAUCCCUGGGAAUUUCCAUAUGCCGCUGUAGGUGCAGCCCUAAAAAAAUUAAGGAAAAUAAAGUAUUUACAUUUGCAGGGUCCGUGGUUCUCUAGGGAGUCUCAGGGAUGCAUAUGAUGCUCAUUGUAUGAAGUUUUCUGGCAUCUAACAAAGCUGUCCAUAUUUCCCCGUGUCCGGCAGCACUGCGGUAAACACAAGGUUCUAUAUUAUUUCCAACCCUCUUUUCUUUCUGGGAAGACAACCGAUUUACACUGCUCCAGCACGUUAAAAUUAAACACGGUCAUGUGACUUGUUUUGGCCAAUGGAAGUGAUGAAAGCAUUCAAGAGCCAACGCACACAUUCCUUGUUCUCAUCCUCUUCUAAAGAUUCAUGUGGAAAUGGUGGUGACAUAAAAUGAAGGAGCUUCUUUCAGUCUACGAUAAGCAGAGUCUCAUUGUAACCAGUGCUCAACAUGUAAUGUGAGUAAAAAAUAAAUCUAGAUUGUUUUAAGAUGCCAAAAUCUGGGGGUUAAGUUUUAUGCCAGCAUAAUCAAGUCUCUGCUGACUAAUAUAAUUACCAUCUGGGCAAAAGCAUAACUCUCUGCUUUUAGGGACUCAGCUCCAUAUAUUAGGUCCUAAAACCUAAAUGCAACUAUACUUCAGAGUAGUUCAGAAGUGACUGGAUGAGGUUUGCAAGAAUCACUACUUACUCCUUAAAGCCAGAAGUUGUAAGGCGCUUCCUCUGGGAGUUUACCUAGAACUCUCUGUUCCCACCCGCCAAAUUCCAAUAUGAGCUUCUCCACACCUGCCUGCAUUCCAAGAGCUUGUGUAUGAACAGAAAGUCAAGGUGAAGAAGUCAAACACUACACCAGAACCUGGACUUCAGCGGGUGAAUGGUUCAAAAGAAGUGGCCACACUGACCCAGCCUACUCUUAAUAACUCUCACAGCA
This 2495-nucleotide long non-coding RNA is filed under the name Sus scrofa (pig). RNAcentral's name for it is "lncRNA (ENSSSCG00025059529.1)". The record is from RNAcentral. Lineage: Eukaryota; Metazoa; Chordata; Mammalia; Artiodactyla; Suidae.